GCAGUGGUAGUUCAGUAGUAGAAUUUUCACCUUGCAUGUGAAAGACCUGGGUUCGAGCCCUGGCCAAUGCA
This 71-nucleotide transfer RNA is filed under the name Trichechus manatus latirostris (Florida manatee). Its description in RNAcentral is "tRNA-Ala (TGC) (tRNA-Ala-TGC-21-1)". It matches the Rfam family "tRNA". Rfam says of the family: Transfer RNA (tRNA) molecules are approximately 80 nucleotides in length. Their secondary structure includes four short double-helical elements and three loops (D, anti-codon, and T loops). Lineage: Eukaryota; Metazoa; Chordata; Mammalia; Sirenia; Trichechidae. The record is from Rfam by way of RNAcentral.